UCCCUUCUUUGUGCAUGAAAAAUAUAAUCAUUUAUAACUCACAUAACAUAAAAAGACAUGAUACAAUUGCAAAUUGUAAAUGAUACAUAAACAUGUUUAAACCGAUUCUUUCAAAACUAAAUAUCGGUACAAUUUUGAAUGUAUCGAUAAUUGUUAGAAAAGUAUCGAUGUAUUGUGGCA
Long non-coding RNA from Haliotis rubra (blacklip abalone), 180 nucleotides. RefSeq lists it as uncharacterized. NCBI's taxonomy places the organism in Eukaryota, Metazoa, Mollusca, Gastropoda, Lepetellida, Haliotidae. The record is from RefSeq and is a predicted model, not a curated record. The transcript is spliced from 3 exons.